GAAGUUUCAAGCUGUUGCUCUCAAUGCAACAUGUAUCAGACAGAGAUCAAUCGCGGGUUCAGAUCUAAUUGUCUUUGUUUUGUUGUAUAAAUACACAAGAUUUUUUACACAUCGCAUAUGUUUAAAGCUCAUGUUUGAAGCAAACAUUGAAAAACAUUGAAGACCCGUCGCAAGAAAAACCAGAAUAUCGAUCGAAACGUAAGUUAUCCGUGUAAAAAAUGCGCCAAACUAAUCACCUACGUCACCUACUCAAACAUGACAAAUGUGAAAUAUGCGGCAAAGAACUCCGCCAUAUGAAGAAACACUUAAGAAAUGCACAUUCGACCGAAGAAAAGCCAAAGCCGAAAAAAGAUUGCAAAAAAUACAAAUGCACCUUACCUUUGUGCGAUUACUCAACGGAUCUGAUGGCCAAUUUUCAGCGACAUUAUAAAUCACAUUCAAUAAAAAUCAAAUACAGAAAAUUCAACGGCUUCCUGCGCCGUUUCAAUGGAGCAGUCAAUGUUCUGAUGGAAUUCGUUACGGCUACAAAUUGCAGGGAAACAUUAAUAUUGUGCUGCCAAAAAUACGAACAGUGUGCUAGUUUGUUAAUUGAAUUAAUGAAGUUCUGUGAGGCGAAAAAUACCCCAACAGAGUUUGUCCAUGUACUGGCACCAAAAAAAAACGAAAUGCACCAAAUAGGACUGUAUAUACUAUCGCGGAUGCACACCUAUGGUGGUAUGUAUCAAUGAUGAGAUGAUGAUAGAGCUGAAGUCGAUGUUGAAGUUGCCGAAUUAAUGAAACCAAACAUUCCGGUUUAUAACUACGUACACUCCUUCUUCGUAAUAAAAGAAGAAAUUACAAAAGACAAUUAUACCUGCAAUAAAUUGUCCUUCAAAUAAAAUGCAUUUCAAAACGUUGUUCCGGCUUGGCUUGUCCAUUUCACACUGUUGUCUGAUUUCCAUUGGAACAAAAAGUCGUGAUCACACUUAAAACUAAUUAAACACCGUCGCCCCCGACAAUUAGAAGAGGACGAAUUGGGACCCAUUAACUAAACAUUACCACACACAAUGAAUUUAAGCAGAAAGGAAAGUGUUUAAUUGUAGGCAAAGACAUUAAUUCC
Bradysia coprophila is the source of this 1099-nucleotide long non-coding RNA. RefSeq lists it as uncharacterized. The record is from RefSeq and is a predicted model, not a curated record. Lineage: Eukaryota; Metazoa; Arthropoda; Insecta; Diptera; Sciaridae.